This is a non-coding RNA of Melanogaster broomeanus, 98 nucleotides long. NCBI's taxonomy places the organism in Eukaryota, Fungi, Basidiomycota, Agaricomycetes, Boletales, Melanogastraceae. The record is from the annotation of a GenBank genome assembly.
GGCUUUGUAGUGUAGUGGUUAUCACUUGAGAUUUUGAUAUGGUCACUACCAGUGAUCAGCAUGUUCUCAAAACCCAGGUUCGAACCCUGGCAAGGCCU